GCAUUCGUAGCUCAGCUGGAUAGAGCGUUGCCCUCCGAAGGCAGAGGUCGUUGGUUCAAAUCCAAUCGAGUGCACCA
Molecule: transfer RNA, 77 nt
Filed under: Rickettsia endosymbiont of Culicoides newsteadi
Lineage: Bacteria; Pseudomonadati; Pseudomonadota; Alphaproteobacteria; Rickettsiales; Rickettsiaceae
Also listed under: 1 other name
Description: tRNA-Arg
Rfam family: tRNA
About the family: Transfer RNA (tRNA) molecules are approximately 80 nucleotides in length. Their secondary structure includes four short double-helical elements and three loops (D, anti-codon, and T loops).
Source: RNAcentral